This 1462-nucleotide ribosomal RNA is filed under the name uncultured Bordetella sp. RNAcentral's name for it is "partial 16S-23S ribosomal RNA intergenic spacer". It matches the Rfam family "Bacterial small subunit ribosomal RNA". Lineage: Bacteria; Pseudomonadati; Pseudomonadota; Betaproteobacteria; Burkholderiales; Alcaligenaceae. The record is from RNAcentral.
GUUCGAUCAUGGCUCAGAUUGAACGCUGGCGGGAUGCUUCCAUGCAAGUCGAACGGCAGCACGGACUUCGGUCCUGGUGAGUGGCGAGCAGUUCGGUAAUGUCUGGAGACGUGCCUAGUAGCGGGGGAUAACUACGCGAAAGCGCUAAUACCAUACGCCCCGGGAAAGACGGGGACCUUCGGGCCUCGCACUAUUAGAGCAGCCGAUAUCGGAUUAGCUAGUUGGUGGGGUAACGGCUCGCAGGCGACGAAUCCGUAGCUGGUUGAGAGGACGACCAACCACACUGGGACUGAGACGCAGCCCCAAGACUCUGCGGAAGCAGCAGUGGGAAUUACACGGACAAUGGAAACCCUGAUCCAAAGCCCAUCCCGUGUACAGUAGAGGCCUUCAGGUUUGUAAAGCACCUGGCGGAAAGAAACGCUGCGGGAUAAUACCGGCCAUGACGACACCUGCAGAAUAAGCACCGGCUAACACGUGCCAGCAGCCGCGGUAAUACGUAGGAAUUACAAGCGCGUUAAUCGGAAUUACUGGGCGUAAAGCGUGCGCAGGCGGACGGAAAAAGAAGAUCUUGAAAUCCGGAAGCUUAGACUGUUUUAACUACCAUGACCAGAGUGUGUCAGAGAGGGAGGUGGAAUUCCGCCAAAUAUUAGCAGUGAAAUGCAUGCAGAUAUGCGGAGAGACACCGGUGGCGGGGGCAGACCUCAACAGGAUAACGGCAGCGACCAUGCGACGUGGGGAGCAAACAGGAUUAGAUGCCCCUGGUGGCAGUGCUGCCUAAACGAUGUCAACUAGCGCUGUUGGGACCUUCGGAACCUUGACCAUACCAGCCUUUUGCGCGUGAAGUUAGCCGCCUGGGGAGUACGGUCAGCAGAUUAAAACUCAGGAAUGGCGGGGGAUACCACAAGCGAUAUUGGAUGAUGUGGAUUAAUUCGAUGCAACGCAAGAAUAUUCGCCUAUAACCAGCGUAAUGCAGAACCGAAGAGAUUUGGGAGUGCUCGCAAAGAGAACCGGAACACAGGUGCUGCAUGGCUGUCGUCAGCUCGUGUCAUUGAGAUACAUUGGAUUCAGUCACAACGCGAGCGCGACCACUUGUCAUUAGUUGCUACGAAAGGGCACUCUAAUGAGACUGCCGGUGACAAACCGGAGGAAGAUUGAGGAUGACGUCAAGUCCUCAUGACCCUUAUGGGUGGGCUUCUACACGUCAUACAAUGGUGGGACGAGGUCGCCAACCCUUGUGAGAGCCAAUCAAGGCGAUCGUAGUCCGGAUCGCAGUCACAACUCGACUGCGUAGGUCAGGACCUCCGCUAGUAAUCGCGCGGAUAUGUCGCGGUGAAUACGUUCCGGGUCUUGUACACCGCCCGUCUACACCAUGGGAGUGGUUACGAAGUAGUUAGCCUAACCCAAUAGGGCGAUUACCACGGUAGGAUUCAUGACUGAAUUUGAAGUCGUAACAAAAUUAUUC